Molecule: long non-coding RNA, 1241 nt
Filed under: Homo sapiens (human)
Lineage: Eukaryota; Metazoa; Chordata; Mammalia; Primates; Hominidae
Description: non-protein coding MCPH1-AS1:13
Source: RNAcentral
ACUGCGCAUGCUCCCCAGCUGGGCCGGCUGCGGACGCGGGAAGGGAGGUGGUGGCGACUGACGGAACUGGGUGAAGAUGGAGUCUCUGUCACCCAGGCUGGAGUGCAAUGGCGCAAUCUCGGCUCCCUGCAACUUCUGCCUCCCGGAUUCAAGCAAUUCUCCCGCCUCAGCCUCGCAAGUAGCUGGGAUUACAGGCACACACCACCAUGCCUGGCUAGUUUUUGUAUUUUUGUAGAGACAGGGUUUCGCUGUGUUGGCCAGGCUGGUCUUGAACUCUUGACCUCAGGUGAUCUGCCCACCUCGGCCUCCCAAAGUGCUGGGAUUCCAGGAGUGAGCCACUGCUCGUGGCCUGUAUUUUUUAUGGAAACAGAAAAGCCCAUCCUAAAGUUUACAGAAAAUCUCUCUCUCUCUCUCUGUCACUCUCUCUCUUUUUAUAAGACAUGGUGUCACUAUGUUGCCCAGGCUGGACUUGAACUCCUUGGCUCAAAUAAUCAUCUCACCUCAGCCUACUGAAUAGCUGGGAUUACAGGUGUGUACUACUCCACCUGUCUGUCAUAUGGAAUAUUAAGGAACCCUGAAUAGCUAAAAUAAUCUUGAAAAAGAAGACUAUAGUUGGAGGACUCACAGUUCCUGAUUUCAAAACUUACUACAAAGCCAUGGUAAUUAAACAGUGUGAUCUUGGCUUAAAGAUAGACAGAGAAACCAAUGGUAUAGAGAAGACAGCCAAGAAAUAAGCCACUGCAUAUAUCAUCAGUUGAUUUUUGACAAGGGCUCCAAAAAACCCUCUCCAGGGAAAGGGUAGUCUUAUUAAUGGUGCUGAGAAAACUGGAUAUCCACAUGCAAAAGAAUGAAGUUGGACUCUUCCGUUAUACCACAUACAAAAAUUGACUCAAAAUAAGUCAAAGACUUAAAUGUAAAAGCUAAAGCUAUAAAACUCGUAGAAGAAAACACAGGGGAAAACCUUCAUGACAUUGGAUUUGGCAGUAAUUUCUUGGAAAUGACACCAAAAGCACUGGCAAUAAAUGAAAAAAAUAGAUCAUUGAUGAAGAUGGUCAAGGAAUGCUAGUUCUGAUUUGGGAACAAACUCUGGACAUUACAGGCUGGCCUGAGCAGGGUGCUGACCCCAGCAAGCCCUAUGGGGCCACACAAGGGAGAUGGAAGGAGGAGUCUCAUAAAGGGCCAGGGAGAGGGACUGGGAAACCACUCUGGCUUUGCAGUUUUGCGUGGGCACCUCUUUGCAG